UACGGAGGGUGCGAGCGUUGUCCGGAAUCACUGGGCGUAAAGGGCGCGUAGGCGGCCUGGUAAGUAGGGGGUGAAAUCCUGCGGCUUAACCGCAGGGCUGCCUUCUAAACUGUCAGGCUCGAGCACGGUAGAGGCAGAUGGAAUUCCGAGUGUAGAGGUGAAAUUCGUAGAUAUUCGGAAGAACACCAGUGGCGAAGGCGACUCACUGGACAUGUAUUGACGCUGAGGUGCGAAAGCGUGGGGAGCAAACAGG
Molecule: ribosomal RNA, 253 nt
Filed under: uncultured bacterium
Lineage: Bacteria
Description: partial 16S ribosomal RNA
Rfam family: Bacterial small subunit ribosomal RNA
Source: RNAcentral